GAGUUUGAUCCUGGCUCAGAAUCAACGCUGGCGGCGUGCCUAACACAUGCAAGUCGAACGAGAAAGUGGAGCAAUCCAUGAGUAAAGUGGCGACCGGGUGAGUAACACGUGACUAACCUACCUUCGAAUGGGGAAUAACUCCGGGAAACCGGAGCUAAUACCGCAUAACACCGCAAGGUCAAAGGAGCAAUUCGCUUAAGGAGGGGGUCGCGGUUGAUUAGCUAGUUGGUGGGGUAAUGGCCCACCAAGGCGAUGAUCAAUAGCCGGCCUGAGAGGGCGCACGGCCACACUGGAACUGAAACACGGUCCAGACUCCUACGGGAGGCAGCAGUGGGGAAUUUUGCGCAAUGGGGGAAACCCUGACGCAGCAACGCCGCGUGGAGGAUGAAGGUCUUUGGA
This 399-nucleotide ribosomal RNA is filed under the name uncultured bacterium. RNAcentral's name for it is "bacterial SSU rRNA". It matches the Rfam family "Bacterial small subunit ribosomal RNA", at positions 9 to 422 of the family's 1533-position model. The record is from RNAcentral.